AGUUUGAUCAUGGCUCAGGACGAACGCUGGCGGUAUGCUUAACACAUGCAAGUCGAACGAGACGAAGGUGCUUGCACCUUCAGAAAGUGGCGAACGGGUGAGUAACGCGUGGGUAACCUGCCCUCUGGAAAGGAAUAGCCCCGGGAAACUGGGUGUAAUGCCUUAUAAGAUACGAGAGCCGCAUGGCUUUCAUAUUAAACGCUCCGGCGCCGUAGGAUGGACCCGCGUCCCAUUAGCUAGUUGGUGAGAUAACAGCUCACCAAGGCGACGAUGGGUAACCGGUCUGAGAGGGCGAACGGUCACACUGGAACUGAGACACGGUCCAGACUCCUACGGGAGGCAGCAGUGGGGAAUAUUGCGCAAUGGGGGGAACCCUGACGCAGCAAUACCGCGUGAGUGAAGAAGGUUUUUGGAUCGUAAAGCUCUGUUAUUGGGGAAGAAAAAAAGACGGUACCCAAGAAGAAAGUUCCGGCUAACUACGUGCCAGCAGCCGCGGUAAUACGUAGGGAACAAGCGUUGUCCGGAUUUACUGGGCGUAAAGGGCACGCAGGCGGUUUUUUAAGUCAGAUGUGAAAGGCCACAGCUCA
RNAcentral lists this ribosomal RNA (587 nucleotides) under uncultured bacterium. RNAcentral describes it as "bacterial SSU rRNA". It matches the Rfam family "Bacterial small subunit ribosomal RNA", at positions 10 to 611 of the family's 1533-position model. The record is from RNAcentral.